RNA transcript from Nyctereutes procyonoides (raccoon dog), 5470 nucleotides. It is a transcript of the gene named metastasis associated 1 family member 3, with no coding region annotated. Lineage: Eukaryota; Metazoa; Chordata; Mammalia; Carnivora; Canidae. The record is from RefSeq and is a predicted model, not a curated record. The transcript has 18 exons.
UCGGCUCGGGCUCCGCGGGCGGGCGGGCGGACAUGGCGGCCAACAUGUACCGGGUCGGAGAUUAUGUCUACUUUGAGAAUUCCUCCAGUAACCCGUACCUAAUCAGAAGGAUAGAAGAACUCAACAAGACUGCAACUGGCAACGUGGAAGCAAAAGUAGUGUGCUUUUAUAGACGAAGAGAUAUUUCCAACACGCUUAUAAUGCUUGCAGACAAGCAUGCUAAAGAAAUUGAGGAAGAAUCAGAAACAACAAUUGAGGCGGACUUGACUGAUAAACAGAAACAUCAGCUGAAACAUAGGGAGCUCUUUUUGUCUCGCCAGUAUGAAUCUCUGCCUGCAACGCAUAUCAGGGGAAAAUGCAGUGUUGCCCUUCUGAAUGAGACAGAGUCAGUAUUGUCAUAUCUUGAUAAAGAGGACACCUUUUUCUACUCACUGGUCUAUGACCCUUCAGUGAAAACACUGUUAGCUGACAAAGGUGAAAUCAGAGUGGGGCCUAGAUAUCAAGCAGACAUUCCAGAGAUGCUCUUAGAAGGAGAAUCAGAUGAGAGGGAACAGUCCAAAUUGGAAGUUAAAGUUUGGGAUCCAAAUAGCCCACUUACAGAUCGACAGAUUGACCAGUUUUUAGUUGUAGCACGUGCUGUUGGGACAUUCGCUCGAGCCCUUGAUUGCAGCAGUUCUGUGAGGCAGCCGAGUUUGCAUAUGAGCGCAGCUGCAGCGUCUCGAGACAUCACCCUGUUUCAUGCUAUGGAUACAUUGUAUAGGCACAGCUAUGAUUUGAGCAGUGCGAUUAGUGUCUUGGUACCAGUUGGAGGACCUGUUUUAUGCAGAGAUGAAAUGGAAGAGUGGUCAGCCUCUGAAGCUAGUUUAUUUGAAGAGGCCCUGGAAAAAUAUGGCAAAGACUUCAAUGACAUACGUCAAGACUUCCUCCCCUGGAAAUCAUUGACUAGCAUCAUUGAAUAUUACUACAUGUGGAAAACUACUGACAGAUACGUACAACAGAAACGUCUAAAAGCAGCAGAAGCUGAGAGUAAACUGAAGCAAGUGUAUAUCCCAACUUACAGCAAACCAAAUCCCAACCAAAUAUCUGCCAGCAAUGGCAAACCUGGUGCUGUGAAUGGAGCCGUGGGGACCACAUUCCAGCCACAGAAUCCCCUCUUAGGACGAGCCUGUGAGAGCUGCUAUGCUACACAGUCUCAUCAGUGGUAUUCUUGGGGCCCACCUAAUAUGCAGUGUAGAUUGUGUGCAACCUGUUGGCUCUACUGGAAAAAAUAUGGAGGCCUGAAAAUGCCCACCCAGUCGGAAGAAGAGAAAUUAUCUCCUAGCCCAACUACAGAGGACCCCCGUGUUAGGAGUCACAUGUCUCGCCAGGCCAUGCAGGGGAUGCCAGUCCGAAACACUGGGAGCCCAAAGUCUGCAGUGAAGACCCGUCAAGCUUUCUUCCUCCACACUACAUAUUUCACAAAAUUUGCUCGUCAGGUCUGCAAAAAUACCCUCCGGCUGCGGCAGGCAGCAAGACGGCCGUUUGUUCCUAUUAAUUAUGCUGCCAUUAGGGCAGAAUAUGCAGACAGACAUGCCGAACUAUCUGGAAGUCCACUGAAAAGCAAAAGCACUAGGAAACCUUUGGCAUGUAUCAUUGGGUAUUUAGAGAUCCAUCCUUCGAAGAAACCUAAUGUAAUUCGAUCUACACCAAGCCUGCAAACCCCCACUACCAAGCGGAUGCUAACCACCCCGAAUCACACAUCUCUGAGCAUUUUGGGGAAAAGGAACUACAGUCAUCACAAUGGCCUGGAUGAAAGGCUCAUGAAGUGAAGGCCCAGCUCUGUUCCAUCCUGCAGACCUUCCUCAGGAUGGCGGGAGGCUGUGAAGAACUCACAUGCUGCGUGUCGGACUGAGCUACCCCUAUUCAUCCUAUAAGCCAAGACUCGCUACACUGUCCCGCUGAUGUUCACAGUUGUUUCUGGGAAGGAGGCAGUCCUAUUUCCAGCACAUUUCAGUGGGAGACCUGCGGUGCCUCCUGGAGACUCAGUGAGGCAGGGGAGGAAACUGUAGGAGUGCACAUCCCCAGAGCUGCGUCUCCAUGUGUGAAUCAAUGUCACCUCGCUUUCCUCUCAGAGACCUAACUGUCCCACGGCGGGACCUGCCUGAAAAUUGAGGAGUGAAGAGAGCCCCUCAGCCUCCUCCUUGUCCAGCACUCUGCUCCCAGGCACCGCAGCUCCCCAGGCAGAGGAGAGCUCAGAGCUGCUGCUGCCCUGCAUGUGUCAGCUCAGCCCUGUUGGUGCUCUGAUGCUCUAAUGGAGGGACAUGGCAGCUUUCUGAAUGGAUUUUUCUUAAGAAAAGUGCCAGUGUUUAUGCACUUCAUGAUACCUGCCCCUCAUCCUCGCCGUAACUGUCACUUGGCUUUUUCUCAAUAGGUUUCAUCUUUAUUUAUUUAUUUUUUUAAUGGGAAAGUUUUGCUCUUACCCCUGCAUCCUAUAUUCGCCCCCCCCUCCUGGACCCCUCCUAGGUACAGAAUUAUGAGAUUCCGAAAAAAAAAAAUAAGAAAAUCAUUCUUCCAUAAGCCUGUGAACUCUUCAUAUCAUCUGUAUUUUAUUGUUGGAGAGAAGCUGGUGUUCUACUUGAUUCUGCUGGCCCCAGACAGCUCCAGCAAAAACAGAUGUUUAAACCGAGCUAAGCGUGUAUAUCACUGUGGCAAGCCAUCCGUGUACUGCCCUAUUUCCUGACAGCCAAGCCAGCCGCCGAACUACUGCAGCCAGGUCAGUCCUUCAACGAGUCACAAAUCACCCAGGUUUAUUUUAAGCAGAUGGAAUCUGUUUGGCCUAGGAGGGUGAAACAAGAGAAGUGUGUUUGCAGGUGAGUGUGUAUAUAUGACACCACGAGCUCCCCUCUCCAUUCCAGCUCAGACAUUGCUGUGAACACAUGCGCCUAGGCCCUGGGACAUGUGCCUGUGACCCAGUUUUCACUGGCUUGGGUCCUUCCUGUCUGCCCUCAGCACCAGCCUUUGCUGGCACCACUGGCUGGCCAUUCUGCAGCACUGUGCACACAGCUGCAGGGGUAGGAAUAACUUAGUGCCCCACAACUCCCCGAGCAUAUAAGAAUCUGGCUGCUUCCCUGUCCUCCAUUUGCAGCCACAGGCCACAGGCUCACAGCACUGUGAAAGAAAACUGGAGUCUGGCCUUCCAGCUGUCCCUGGGGUCUGCCACUGGAUGGCCAAACAGCCAGGUGGUUGCAGGAUAGAAUGACUACAAUUGAGCUGACACUCCCCUUCCCCCCCCACCCAGCCCUCAAGCAGAGUGAGGUAUCACUAAAAUGACGGUGCCCAGAUCCUCGGAGGCUGGGUUCAGCUCAGAAAAGAGAAUGUGAUGGAUGAUGGCUGGCUGAAGGCGAUGCCCAGAGCUCAAUCUCCAGUUUUGCAGCCCGCGUGGCUUCCCUUCUAAGGAGUUGCUUCUCAUCUUUGGCUUUUGCAAGGGUGACCUGGGGAUGUUCUCACCACUGCUAACUCUUGGAGCUGUUCUGGGUCUUGGCUCAGGGCCCCUACUAUGGGCCCAUGUUAGAGGUACCCAGUGAGUAGGGCAGAGGUGACAGGAAUUGCCCUCAGGGUUCUCCAGAGAGAAGCCCCCUCUGCAAAGACCCAGGGAGGGGAAGCAAAUGGCACUCUGCAUCACAUACCAUGUGGUAUGUUCUCUCUAAAGAAAGACAUGGGAAAGCUGUCUCUGUGUCCUGCCCUGGAUUUAUUGUCGCACAUGGACACAGGGUGUGCAAUGGCUCCCAGGCCCUUUCACACGCCUCUCCUGACCCGUGUGAAAUGUGACUGUUGAGAUGAGAAAAGUCCACUUCUGUGACUCCGCUGCCAGCCUUCACUCUGCCUUUUGGGAGAGGCCCUCCUCACCCAGGCCCAGGAAAGUUGGAGACCAGGGCCAAGGCCAGUGUGCAGGAAAUACAGGGAGUGCCCCCACCCUGGUUGUAGUUUACUUUUAGCUUUGGAGAAAGCGCUGCUCCUUUUGAGCCACAUGUGUGAGGAAAGCUGUUCCUUCACCUUGUAGUAAGAGCUCCUGGUUCUGCAGCCCCAUCCUCCUACAAAGAGGAUGUUGACUAAGAUCUUUUUGUUCUCACUUCAUCUCUGGAAAGUUCCCCAGCAUUCUGAUUGAACACUCAAGGGAAUAAAGAAAUGACACCAAGGAGGCUCUAACAUUUGCCUUGGCCAUUUUGAGCAGUUGGUGCUGAGAACGUUUCCCAGCCACCCAGCCCUUUCUAGGGCCACAGUGUUUCCGCUGUGUGUGUUAAGGGUAUGUCAGCAUUGUGCAGUGAACUUGUGGGCUAGAUAUGCGGGUGUGUCUGCACAGCCCACAGGUGUGCCUGGUGGCGCUGUGCUGAGCCUGAUCUGUGCUCCCUUGGAUGAGGACACGGAAGCUCACAAGCCAUCUUCCCAUUCUGCCAUCACUACCUGCCCACCCCUAGAGAUGGUGGCAAAGAGGAAGACAGACUGGGUGUUAGCCCACCUCUCACAGCUCCACUUUGCCCACAGCCUGGCUUAUUAGUCAGCAUGCAACCAGGGAAACAGAGGCCACUCCAAAUAUUGAAAACAGGGGCUUUUAUCCAGAGAAUCAUUGAACACAGACACCAGAAGAACCGAGAGGCCAUGCAGGAGAACAAGCGGCAACCUAGAGGUGGGGAACUGCCACCACCAGGGGCUGGUGGGACACAGGGGAGAAACCAUGUUACCAGAGCAGGGGAACUGGGGCCACUGGGAGGAACUGGGGACCAUGGAAGGCCUAUCUGGUGGGAGCUGGGGCCUCGAGGAAGCAGGGUCCCUACUGGAAACAAUCCCCACCCCACCCCCGGCAGGUGUGGGGAGGAAUAGCUUGGCUUCUCCUUUUCUCCUGCCCUACAGGUUCUUCAGGUACCUCUGGUUAGGGAAGCCCAGCUGGAGGCCAGCUGACCUGGGGUCCUGGCACAGGCACGUGGCAGCAUUCAGUCCCCACCUUUCAGAGCAGAGUGGGGAAGGCAGGCUGGGACAUGCAUGGCCUGGGUUUUCCCCAUGUCAUGUCCAGCCCAGUGUUUGUACCCCGUGCUAUCCUAAGACUCCGGGGAGGAUAGACGGAGGAACUGCCUCCCCCCGGGGUAGGGGGCUUUGUAGACUCACUCACCUAAAGAGGAAAAUGUUUUUGGAAGGGAGGGGUAAAGCCUUUAUUCUUAACAGUUGUCCCUGUUUUCCUUUGGGGGAAUUUACCCAUUUAGCCACCGCGCCUCACUGUUCCCCUCAAGAAAGCCAUGUCCCAGUUUCCCUUCCAUCCCUUGGCCUCCAAGUUCUGACUUGCCCUGCCAGAGAACACUGGCCCAGACCAUACAUAAGUGGUCAUGAGUGUUUCCGCAGGAUAAUUCAUUCUGAGCAUCAUAUUAGUGUGGAAUGUCUGUAAGUAGAUCCCAUCUACUAAUCAAUUUGUAUUGUGUUUCCAAUAAAUUUCUGGAGAUCA